GGCACGCCGGGUACAAGCGUUUCCCUAUAAAAAGCAGCGUUGCACCAUGCUAAUCCUGACUAAGCUCACGCAAACACAACUACACAACAUCUCCUGAGUACUAUAGUGAUUUUAUAAGAACUCCCGGUUAGCAAUGGCGAAGCGCCUCGCCGUCGCGCUCCUGCUGGUGCUCCUGCUCGCGUCCAGCGACGCGGGAGAGCUGAAUGGGAAGCACGGUGCUGGUAGUGCCGUCGGCGAGAUGAAGGCUCCGUCGCUCCUAGCCGGCGGGUCACCGGCUCUCGACGGCGGCCUCCCGGGGGCAGUGGACGGCCUCGCGGGGGGCCUCGGGUUGCCAGGGGCACCACCGAUUGUCGGGGUACUGAUUCCUGGGUCCCUCCCGUUCGAAAAUCCAGCACCAACAAGUCUCCAUGAUCAUCUAUGGUUCAUGUGCUAGCUUACAUACAAACUGAAGCUCAACUAGUUGUGGCUUUAGAUCUGCAGCUGUAGCACGUACUCCCUCCGUUUUUAUUUAGUUCGCAUAUUAGUUUUGGUCAAAGUCAAGCUUUACAAACUUUGACCAAGUUUAUAAACAAAAAUAUUAAGAUAUACAAUAACAAAUCAACAACAUUAGAUUUAUUAUUGAAUGUAUUUUCACAUCGUAUAGAUUGAUUUAUUAUGAUAAAUGUCUAUAUUGUUUUUUAUAAAUUUGAUCAAACUUUAUGAAGUUUGACUUCAGUCAACUCUAAUAUGCAUGCAGAGUAAAUAAAAACGGAGGGAGUACCGGCCAGAAGAAAAUCACCGGCGUUUCGCUCAAGCGUCUGUACCAACUACUAUCUUUGUCGUGUGUAUUUCCUUUAACUACCAUCUUUGUCGUGUGUAUUUCCUUUGAGUUACACUACUAUGGUGUGUGUUUCCUUUCAGUCCAGGAAAGUAUGUCUUCCCUACUUCGCGUCUUCCUUGAUGUGCUACAUGUAUCACCAACGGAAUAAAUAAAGGAUUUGUCAUUGUGCAUUUAUAUCGCCUUCUUGGAUAGACAUAUCAACAGGUUGCAUCAUCAACACUGAUCAACAAAUCA
RNAcentral lists this long non-coding RNA (1054 nucleotides) under Triticum aestivum (bread wheat). Its description in RNAcentral is "long non-coding RNA (TAES_LNC023063)". Lineage: Eukaryota; Viridiplantae; Streptophyta; Magnoliopsida; Poales; Poaceae. The record is from RNAcentral.